Molecule: RNase P RNA, 503 nt
Filed under: Ruminococcus flavefaciens
Lineage: Bacteria; Bacillati; Bacillota; Clostridia; Eubacteriales; Oscillospiraceae
Description: Bacterial RNase P class A
Rfam family: Bacterial RNase P class A
About the family: Ribonuclease P (RNase P) is a ubiquitous endoribonuclease, found in archaea, bacteria and eukarya as well as chloroplasts and mitochondria. Its best characterised activity is the generation of mature 5'-ends of tRNAs by cleaving the 5'-leader elements of precursor-tRNAs. Cellular RNase Ps are ribonucleoproteins.
Source: RNAcentral
CGAGCAGACUACGCGGCAGCGGAAACGUUUUAGUUUAUGAGGAAAGUCCGGGCAUCACAGAGCAGGGUAGCUGAUAACGUCAGCCGAGGGCGACCUUAGGGCAAGUGCAACAGAGAUAUACCGCCGCUUUAAUACUUGACUCUGCUGCAAGAUGUCCAAUAGAUUUCGAGAUAAAAUACUGUUUUUCAAGGCGGACGACGCAGGCGUGCUUUCGCACGGCAAGAAGGAGAACGCAGAAAAACGGAAUUUUAGCCGAAAGAUGUGGAUAGCUUGCAGCAGGGUCAAGUAUAGUGGUAAGGGUGGAAAGGCGAGGCAAGAGCUCACCAGUGUGCAGGAGACUGCACAGCUAUGUAAACCCUACCCGAUGCAACGUCUAUUGGUACUGCGUAUCUUAACGUCGGCUCGGCGGAUACGCAGUAAUGACGGCUUGAGCUUAUCGGCGACGAUGAGCGUAGAUAAAUUGCCGCGCACGACAGAACCCGGCUUAUCGGUCUGGUCAAAAA